ACGCUCGUGGUCUAGCGGUUAUGAUGGGAGCUUCCCAAGCUCUUGACCCGAGUUCGACUCUCGGCGGGCGUA
The sequence is a transfer RNA, 72 nucleotides long. It matches the Rfam family "tRNA". Rfam says of the family: Transfer RNA (tRNA) molecules are approximately 80 nucleotides in length. Their secondary structure includes four short double-helical elements and three loops (D, anti-codon, and T loops).